CUAGUUGGUAGGGUAAUGGCCUACCAAGGCAAAGACGGGUAGGGGGCGUGAGAGCGUGACCCCCCACACUGGCACUGGGACACGGGCCAGACUCCUACGGGAGGCAGCAGUGAGGAAUAUUGCGCAAUGAGCGAAAGCUAGACGCAGCAACGCCGCGUGGGUGAUGAAGGCCUUCGGGUCGUAAAACCCUUUUCUGGGGGAAGAGUAAGGACGGUACCCCAGGAAUAAGCCUCGGCUAACUAUGUGCCAGCAGCCGCGGUAAUACAUAGGAGGCAAGCGUUAUCCGGAUUUACUGGGCGUAAAGAGCGUUGAGGCGGCUUCGUAAGUUGGACGUGAAAGCUCCCGGCUUAACUGGGAGAGGCCGUUCAAUACUGCGGGGCUUGAGGACAGCAGAGGGGGGUGGAAUUUCCGGUGUAGUGGUGAAAUGCGUAGAUAUCGGAAGGAACACCAGUGGCGAAGGCGGCCCCCUGGGCUGCUCCUGACGCUGAAGGCGAAAGCUAGGGUAGCGAACGGGAUUAGAAACCCCGGUAGUCCUAGCCGUAAACGAUGGAUACUAGGUGUAGGAGGUUAAAAUUCCUUCUGUGCCGGAGCUAACGCGUUAAGUAUCCCGCCUGGGGAGUACGGUCGCAAGGCUAAAACUCAAAGGAAUUGACGGGGGCCCGCACAAGCAGCGGAGCGUGUGGUUUAAUUCGAUGCAACGCGAAGAACCUUACCAGGGCUUGACAUGUAGGUAGUAGUGAAGCGAAAGCGGAACGAUCCUUCGGGAAGCCUACACAGGUGCUGCAUGGCUGUCGUCAGCUCGUGCCGUGAGGUGUUAGGUUAAGUCCUGUAACGAGCGCAACCCCUGCCGUUAGUUACAAGUGUCUAACGGGACUGCCCGGCAAAACUGGGACGGAAGGUGGGGAUGACGUCAAGUCAGCAUGGCCUUUAUGUCCUGGGCUACACACACGCUACAAUGGCCGGUACAAUGGGUUGCCAAGCCGCGAGGCGGAGCCAAUCCU
RNAcentral lists this ribosomal RNA (1001 nucleotides) under uncultured organism. RNAcentral's name for it is "bacterial SSU rRNA". It matches the Rfam family "Bacterial small subunit ribosomal RNA", at positions 245 to 1275 of the family's 1533-position model. The record is from RNAcentral.